This is a long non-coding RNA of Lates calcarifer (barramundi perch), 3063 nucleotides long. RefSeq lists it as uncharacterized. The record is from RefSeq and is a predicted model, not a curated record. The transcript is spliced from 3 exons. Lineage: Eukaryota; Metazoa; Chordata; Actinopteri; Centropomidae.
GUGAAGUGGCAGCUUGAUGUUAGACAACUUUUAUUCUCAGAUGCAUUUGUGCUGGAAACUAGAGUUAAUGCACAGUCCGCUGGUGUGAUUUUCUGGGCUUUUAUUCUAUCUGGUCUUUGAAGGUUUAACCAUGUUCUCUGGGAGUCUUGUUGUGGUGCUGCUGGUCCUCCUCCUGUGCAGGCGUGUCCUGUGGCAUGGACUGUGCAUCUUCAUCGGUCAGAAAUUGUUCAAGAGACCUGCAAGGGCUGGUGGAAUUGCCAGUGGAAGGCUGCCUAGAGAAGUGAAAAAUGAAUGAUUGCCCUGAGAUGAACAUCUUUGGACUGUUGGAGGACACCAGAGGAAGAUCCCCACACAGGCUGGCCACACAGUGAGGGCCAGGGUGUCAACAGCCUCUGGGCCUCCAUGCUGCCCACAUUUUCAACUAAUCACAUCCUCCGUAGUGGUGGAAAGUGGGUUGCGCAACAGCUGUGAUACUCUCAUAUUGAUAACUGCCAUUGUUUAAACCUCAUUUUAGGCAGCAAUAUUAUUAUAAUACAUUCAAUUUAACAUGUACACUCUGAAUGCAUGUAUGCAUACAUAUGUAUAUUCAUUUGUAUAUUUUGAUGUACUACUUGAUGUUGUCAUUCCAUGGAUAGCAGAACCCUGUUUUUACCCCCAUUUUUUGUCACUAUUGGUAUUUGUCUUGUCUCAUUAUAGUAAUUUACUAGAGGUCAUAUAUUAUCCUCUGUAUUUACCUUCACCACCACUGAAAUAUACCUCCGUGUUCUUUUGUUUUUGCCAUUCUGCUGAUGAACCAAGACCAACAGUUAUUGUUCCUCUCUUGUUUUCACAGGGAGGAAAAGUGAAAUUCAAUUGUUCACACCCUUGAGUGCAAGGAAGAGGCUGUGAAUCAACAUGUAGGCAUAUUGUUCUGGUUAGGGACUGAGUGACAUUUUUAUGAGGAGAGGUUACUGAGAGAGAGAAGCAUUAGUCUAAACUCUCUGAAACCUGUAUGACUAUCAUGUUUUGUCUUAGGAAUGCAUAGAAGUUCCUGGGUUUGAGAUUGAACAUACUUCCCAGCAAAUGAGUUCUCUUGAGUCUCUGGCAGGUGAUGAAUAUGACAUUGCUAAUGCAAUGAUGGUCCCCACUGUCACAGUCAUCCUGUGUUAAAGUGCGCAUAGGUAGUGUUGUUAAACCUCUAAAUAAAUUGAGCAAAAAAGCAAAUAAACAUCUUCACAAAAACUCCAGGAACACAGUUCACCAGUCUAUCACAGAAUUACAAAAAAACUAGAUCAGGGGAAAUAAUUCACUUUCGCGCUGAGAUUAAGGUGAGAGGAUUGAUAUCGAUAUGUAUGUGUAUCGACAUGUAGAGCUGCAGCCAGACGGCAGUUAGCCUGGCUUACCUUAAAGACUGGAAGAAUGGGGAAACAGCCAGCCUGACUUUUAACAAAAAAUGCUCACAGCACAUAACUAUUAAUAAGCUUAAAAGGUGUGGGUACUGUAGGUAUAUUUUCUCAGCUUGGACAUAGCAAGGCUAGCUGUUUACCAGGCUUUCAGUCUUUAUGCUAAGCUAGGCUAAUUGCCUUCAAGCUUGAGCUCCAUACUUAAUGCACAGACAUGAAAAUCAUAUUCAUAUUUUCACUUAACUCUUGAAAAGAGUGUGAAUAUGUUCAUUAUCCCCAAAUGUUGAAAAAAGUUUUAAACAAACUCAAAAUAAAGCAAACAGAAAUGAAAAAAAUCACAUUCAUACAGGCCUUUCCAUGUAUUUACAUGGACAGUGAAGGAAGUUUUGCGAGGAAGUUACCCUCUAAUUUACACAAAAGACGAGGAUGAGAAAAGCAAAAAACACAUGACAUUUUACAACUUUAAGCAUGUAAGAAUGUGUUUUUGUCAUGCAGAGAAGAAUCCGCUUUUUGUGUUAAAUCAACAGGUAUGGAUGAGGAGAUGUGUUUGGAAUGUGGUGGACAGAUGUCAACAUAAAGGCUCUGAGCCCAGGAGAGGAGGAGCAUGAGGAGGAGGAGGGGGAGUUGGCACGAGAGGGCGCAAAGAAUGGCCUUGGCUCUUUGAAAGUGAAUUUCUCUCCCUGAAGCUGGAGAUUACCAGGCCCUUCAGUGCUAAUGGCUGCUACAAAUGGCCAUAGAUAAGACUGGGAAGACUUAGGAGAGAGAGAGAGAGAGAGAGAGAGAGAGGGGAAGUUAUCUUAAAACAGCACUGAGGCUGCUGUCAUUUUAUCUGUCUUCAGUUGUUUGUCCCUAUCACUGUCUUACAGAUUUUGUGAAUAUUUUGCUCAAAAUUCUAAAACAAAUCUUGUCAUAAAACUCAACUUGUACACACUCAGAAUGCAACAAAAAUCUAGUAAUACACCAGUCUCUCAGAAAGGUUGCAUUAAGAGGUUGUUUCAGUAGAGAUGUGAAAUGUGUUGUGUGGUGUGUAAUGGGUGCUGCACCGAGUCUGUGUAUUUGAAGGAUUUUGUUCUGAAAGGGUGAUGUGUGUGAUCUUGAACAUAGAGAUUUGUACAUUUAGUGUGAGUUAGGUUUAUGUGACUGUUGCUUUAGGGAAGUGGCGUAAAAGAUUAAUAAUAUGUCUCAGGACAUUUGACAGACAUGACUGCAUCAACAGCAACUCUCCUCUGUGUCAGUCAAAUAUCUUAGGUCCUCUUAACAUGGACAAUUACAGUUCAGCAUUCAAUAGUACAUAAAAUCCAGAUGCACUGUUGUGUCUCUUUUCUUUUUAAUCUUGGAACUAAACACAAUGAAAUACAAAUCAAAUGAAGUUAAUGUGUUUGGGUUCCAGGAAACACCACAAUCUCAGCUCAAAACCAUACUAAUCAUCAUUUUGAAACUUCUACAUCUGAAAUUGUAAGUAUACUGAAAAAUGAACUCAGUAGAACGUUUUAACUGAGAUUCUUUAUAAUUUGAAUCUAUCAAACGAUAAUCAAUAGACUGUGAUUGGAGCUUACGACUCUGUUUCUAUUAUUCUGUCCACUGAAAGCCCUCUGCUUCAACACACACACACACAUCUCUCUGUCGGUGCCCUCUUAUAUCUUUGUUGCCUCCAAAGGUCAUUAAAACACUGUUAAGAUUC